UACGCAGACGGUGAGAAAGGUCGGAUGUGAAAGCCCCGGGCUCAACCCGGGAACUGCAUCCGAAACCAUCUCGCUAGAGUAUGGGAGAGGGAAGCAGAAUUCCUGGUGUAGAGGUGAAAUUCGUAGAUAUCAGGAGGAAUACCUGCGGCGAAGGCGGCUUCCUGGCCCAUUACUGACGUUCAGGUACGAAAGCGUGGGUAGCAAACAGGAUUAGAUACCCUGGUAGUCCACGCCGUAAACGAUGUGUGCUGGAUGUCGGGGGUAUUCACCCCCUCGGUAUCGAAGCUAACGCGAUAAGCACACCGCCUGGGGAGUACGGCCGCAAGGUUGAA
This 332-nucleotide ribosomal RNA is filed under the name uncultured Haliangium sp. Its description in RNAcentral is "bacterial SSU rRNA". It matches the Rfam family "Bacterial small subunit ribosomal RNA", at positions 568 to 898 of the family's 1533-position model. Lineage: Bacteria; Pseudomonadati; Myxococcota; Haliangiales; Kofleriaceae. The record is from RNAcentral.